Molecule: long non-coding RNA, 335 nt
Filed under: Parus major (Great Tit)
Lineage: Eukaryota; Metazoa; Chordata; Aves; Passeriformes; Paridae
Description: lncRNA (ENSPMJG00000019568.1)
Source: RNAcentral
AACAGGGUGGUGCCAUUUCUCAUAUCAGCCUCAUUCAUCUCUCUGUGUCCUGUGCCAGGAAUAAAAGGUUGUGAUGAUCAGUGACACAGAAACAGCUACCUGAUGGUCCUGUUGUGUACACACCGGAGAUGUUGCCCUGGAGACCAUAUGGCAGCAAGGGCAGUGUUCCUGUUUUCAUCCAGAUGCUGGGAGUUGCUUGGAGAAGCCUGUCCAUCAGGGAGCAGCUGCACCACGAGCCCAGAGUGCUCAGGUUGGCUGGAGAUCCUGCACUGUAAGGCAAGCUGAAUCCCUCUCCCUGGUUUUGUGUUGGCUGUGGCCAUGUUAAGCAUCAACAG